CAAUAGCGUAUAUUAAAGUUGUUGCAGUUAAAAAGCUCGUAGUUGGAUUUCUGGUCGGAAGCUCCUGUCCUCUGAUGAGCGUACAAGUGCGUCCUACCAUCCUUCUGUUAACCUUUAAGGCUUUCGCGGCUUUCUAGGGGCUCAGAUAUUUUACCUCGAGAAAAUUAGAGUGUUUCAGGCAGGCUAGCGCCGGAAUACAUUAGCAUGGAAUAAUGGAAUAGGACUUUUGCCUCUUCUGUUGGUCAUGAGGCUCGAGUAAUGAUUAAUAGGGAUAGUUGGGGGCAUUAGUACUUAACUGUCAGAGGUGAAAUUCUCGGAUUUGUUAAAGACUAACUUAUGCGAAAGCAUUUGCCAAGGAUGUUUUCAUUA
This 369-nucleotide ribosomal RNA is filed under the name uncultured eukaryote. RNAcentral's name for it is "partial 18S ribosomal RNA". It matches the Rfam family "Eukaryotic small subunit ribosomal RNA", at positions 592 to 975 of the family's 1831-position model. The record is from RNAcentral.